AGAGAACCCAUUUUGAGGAAUUCGGGGGCAAUUUCAGUUUCUCGGUGGCGGAAGACGCGCAGAGACUUCACCCUUUCAAUUCCGUUGACACAUAUACAGAGGUGUCGUUUCUGAUAAUCAAUUUCACUUUCUCUUUGCUACGAUCGCUACAUUCUCUCUCUCUCUUUUGUGUAGACUGAACCCGCGCUGAACUGCAUUUCGCCUAUAAAUUAAUAUAUUUCUUAGGAAGAUGCAGCAACCCGUGCAGCCAAGGUCUUCUGCCAAUGGAUAUGGCCGUCGUAAAGUUGAUAGAGAAAUGGGUACUAAGUUGGAGAAUAAAGCGCAAUCUGGAAAAACUACUUCUCGUCAAUUUACAGGUAAAGGGGGAGCAUAUCAAAGCCUGUCACAUGAUCG
This 393-nucleotide unclassified non-coding RNA is filed under the name Hevea brasiliensis (rubber tree). The record is from RNAcentral. Lineage: Eukaryota; Viridiplantae; Streptophyta; Magnoliopsida; Malpighiales; Euphorbiaceae.